Molecule: long non-coding RNA, 1073 nt
Filed under: Erythranthe guttata (spotted monkey flower)
Lineage: Eukaryota; Viridiplantae; Streptophyta; Magnoliopsida; Lamiales; Phrymaceae
Description: long non-coding RNA (EGUT_LNC001657)
Source: RNAcentral
CCAUGUGCAAGCUUCUGCAUCUGCCCCAGUUUUGCAAGGACCUGUCCAAGUUUCAGCAUAUGCAAAGGAGAAGAAAAAAAAUCUUGUCACUAAGAAAACAUAUGUCCAAGAAAUUACCAAAGCUCAUGCAUCUUCAGCACCUGUUCAACUCAAAACUUCUGCACCUGUUCAAGUUAAAGCUUAUGUACAAGCCAAAUCAUCAGCCAAAGCUAUUAUAGAUGCUGCAAAGGUUACCAAAGUUCCAGCAUCUUCAGCUCCUGUCAAAGUGAAAUCUAAAGUUUAUGCAUCUAGUUCUAAAGUCAAUUCAAAUUCCCAAUCACAUGCAAGUACCAAUGCUCCUAAGGCAUCAGAUUAUGAGCAUCUUGUUGCAAAGUGGAAUUCAGGUGGUGCAAGUAGGUUCAUAUCCCUAUUCAAAUAGUAGAUUCUGGAGAUAUUUGUGCAUAGGCCUUUUUUGAAAAAAUCAUUUUUUGAACAAUGUUGUUCCUGUGAAGUUGUAUAGGCCUGUUUUGUAUCAUGUCAAGUUGUGUUGUCACUUAGUUUUUGUUAGUUGAGGUAUGGGAUGAACCUUGUUUUUGUUUUAUUUUGUAAUCAACACAAACUUAAUAUGGCAUGUAUUAUAAAUUAGAUGGAGUGUAUGAAUUAGUACAAUUUAAUCCUGCUUAUAUUGAAAAUUUACUUUUGCAGAGAAUUUAAUCUUGCUUAUUAAAUUGGAAUUUAUUCUUGCAGUACAUCGAAAAUUCACUCAUACUAGUUAAAUAGAACUACAUAGGUUUGACAUAACAUAUAGAUUGCAAAUAUUGCGAGGUUUAACACAAUUAAACUGUGAACGACUCCAACUUCAUCUUUGUUAUUAUUUACCUCGUUUUCUUGACGGACUUGGUUUCUUGAUGCACUUGUAGCUUCAUUUUCUUCAUAAUUAGGAGUAGAUUGGGAGUUGUGGUAUGAGAAAUUUUGCCCAACAUCAAAUGGCUCACACCAAUGAGAAUAGCCAUGGUCUGGGCAACAAUAAAACAACCUCCCGGGGUUCAUGUUUGUCUCUGAAACCAUGAUUGUCGUUUUCUUUCCACAAUUAA